UACGUAGGGUGCGAGCGUUGUCCGGAAUUAUUGGGCGUAAAGGGCUCGUAGGCGGUUUGUCGCGUCGGGAGUGAAAUCCACUGGCUUAACUGGUGGCUUGCUUUCGAUACGGGCAGACUGGAGGUAUGCAGGGGAGAACGGAAUUCCCGGUGUAGCGGUGAAAUGCGCAGAUAUCGGGAGGAACACCAGCGGCGAAGGCGGCUCACUGGACCGGAACUGACGCUGAGGCGCGAAAGCGUGGGGAGCAAACAG
This 252-nucleotide ribosomal RNA is filed under the name uncultured bacterium. Its description in RNAcentral is "partial 16S ribosomal RNA". It matches the Rfam family "Bacterial small subunit ribosomal RNA", at positions 524 to 775 of the family's 1533-position model. The record is from RNAcentral.